UGCAAGUCGAACGGUAACAGGAAGCAGCUUGCUGCUUCGCUGACGAGUGGCGGACGGGUGAGUAAUGUCUGGGAAACUGCCCGAUGGAGGGGGAUAACUACUGGAAACGGUAGCUAAUACCGCAUAACGUCUUCGGACCAAAGAGGGGGACCUUCGGGCCUCUUGCCAUCGGAUGUGCCCAGAUGGGAUUAGCUAGUAGGUGGGGUAACGGCUCACCUAGGCGACGAUCCCUAGCUGGUCUGAGAGGAUGACCAGCCACACUGGAACUGAGACACGGUCCAGACUCCUACGGGAGGCAGCAGUGGGGAAUAUUGCACAAUGGGCGCAAGCCUGAUGCAGCCAUGCCGCGUGUAUGAAGAAGGCCUUCGGGUUGUAAAGUACUUUCAGCGAGGAGGAAGGCAUUAAGGUUAAUAACCUUGGUGAUUGACGUUACUCGCAGAAGAAGCACCGGCUAACUCCGUGCCAGCAGCCGCGGUAAUACGGAGGGUGCAAGCGUUAAUCGGAAUUACUGGGCGUAAAGCGCACGCAGGCGGUCUGUCAAGUCGGAUGUGAAAUCCCCGGGCUCAACCUGGGAACUGCAUUCGAAACUGGCAGGCUAGAGUCUUGU
This 607-nucleotide ribosomal RNA is filed under the name Citrobacter freundii. Its description in RNAcentral is "bacterial SSU rRNA". It matches the Rfam family "Bacterial small subunit ribosomal RNA", at positions 56 to 652 of the family's 1533-position model. Lineage: Bacteria; Pseudomonadati; Pseudomonadota; Gammaproteobacteria; Enterobacterales; Enterobacteriaceae. The record is from RNAcentral.